Molecule: ribosomal RNA, 352 nt
Filed under: Sinojassus sp. n. SK-2013
Lineage: Eukaryota; Metazoa; Arthropoda; Insecta; Hemiptera; Cicadellidae
Description: partial 12S ribosomal RNA
Source: RNAcentral
AUACCCUAUUAUUAAUUUUUAAUUAUUCUUGAUUAUUAUUAGUUAUGUUCUUUAAAAAUCAAAGAUUUUGGCGGUUAAUUAUCUUUUUAGAGGAACAUGUAAAUUAAUUGAUAUUCCACGAUAUUUUCUACCAUUAGUUUUAUUUGUAUAUCUUUAUUGUAAGAAUAUUAUUAAAUUAAUUUUCUUUAUCUAUAAGAGAUUAAUUUUAGGUCAAGGUGCAGUUUUACUUUGGUUUCUUAUGUGUUACUAUAAUUUUAAAUAUUUUUUUUAUUCUUUUUGAUUAAAUAUAGGAUUUAAUAGUAAAUUUAAUUAAUUAAUUAUUUUAAAUUUAGCUCUAAUUAAUGUACACAUC